This 931-nucleotide long non-coding RNA is filed under the name Homo sapiens (human). RNAcentral's name for it is "non-protein coding lnc-LRRTM3-8:1". Lineage: Eukaryota; Metazoa; Chordata; Mammalia; Primates; Hominidae. The record is from RNAcentral.
AUAACAUUCAUCUAGGUCCCUCUAUGUGACCUCUGAACUUGAAGGCAAGAGGCCCAAAUGCAAAUAUGAGUUCACGCUACUUUCUUUGCUACGAGUAAUAAAGUCCUUUGAGCCUGGGCUCUCAUGUGUUCUGAGAGCAUCCAUAAAACUGUGGCAAGUUAACGUGCUAAAUCACAGCUACCAUAAGAUUUCGGACUCUUCAUAGCUCCUGACAGUAAUCUUGUAUUUGCCUGCCUCUUUUCAUGCCUGGUAAUUUUUUAUUGGAUAUCAGGCACUGAGAAUUUCACUUUGUAAGUGCUGGAUAAUUUUAUAUUCCUGUACAUAUUCUUGAUCUUUGCCCUGGGUUGCUGUUAAAUUACUUGGAAACAGUUUUAGCCUUUUUGGUUUUGCUUUUAAGAUUUCUAACUUAGGUAAGGUCGCAGUGGUGCUUAAUCUAAGGAACAUUAUUCCCUACUACUAAGGCAAGACAUUUCUGUGUGCUCUGUCCAACGCCACAAAUCAUGAGAUUUUCUAGUCUGGCUGGUGAGAACAGGCAUUCUCCCCAGCCCCACAUAAGUGCUAAUCAUGUGGAGUGCUUUUUUCUUGGCCUCAAGUAGUUUCCUCCCAGGAAUGCACUGAUUAGUACUCAGCUGAAUACUUAACAGGAACCACUGCCUAUCUCCAGAGUUCUUUUUUUGUGCAGCUCUCCUCUCUGUUACUCUGCCCUGUGAAUUUUAGCAUGUUGGUUUUCCCAGACUCUCAACUGUGUCUUUUCCACUUAGGAGAUCUGCCAGUUCCCUGUGGGCUUCUCUCUUUCACUGCAAUGCUUCUUAGAAAGUCUUGCAAGGCAGAAAGCUGGGAAAAUUGUAAAGCUAACUUUAUUUGUUUACCAGUUCCCAGGGAUUACUUUCUUUCAUUUCCUGAUAUUCAGUGCAGUGUCUUAAAAAAUAAU